GGCAUACACAUACACCCGUCCUGCCUUCUCCGUUCGCUCUCAAUCCUCCGCGAAACCGCUGCUCUCCAGUCUCCACCUUGAAAAACCCUACUCCUGCUCGAGGAAUCCGCCGCCGCGCCCUCCAUCAGAUCCAGUCAUCCAGGCACCACUGCGUUGCGCGGGCUACCCCCUCGCCGAUUCCCACACUAACCAUGUGAUCCGGAUAAUUCCGGGUGCUCUUCUGUUCGCCCGUUGUAUCCCCACCGGGGACCGGGGCUAGACAGGUAACAAAUCUGCGGCGCCCUCGGUUGCCGAUUCCGGUCGGCGGCACAAGGAGCUACGGUGCUAACCUCAGUUCGUAUGCUUGCCUUUUCUUGUUCGCAUCUCGUGUCUUCAUCUUUCCUUCCUUUUGUUAUCGGCCACCCGGUUUUCUUAUGGAUAUUUGGUUUGUCUGAGGCCUGGAUCUAUGAGGUAGUAGAGAUGCGGUAAUAUAUUGCGGAUAGUUUAGGGUUUCCGUCUCAUUUCCGAGCUUAGUAUAUGAUUAAUUUAUGUUUCUCGUGGGAUUCUGAUCUGCCAGCCUGAUGAUUAGCAUUGUUUGCACAAAGAACGGAGAUCUGAAUGCGCUUCCUCGUCGAAGCCCGCUUGACUGUUUCUCAUGGCAGGCAGGCUUGCUCCGGUCCGGUCCGUGACAAACUACCAUUCCCCCUCCGUUCUGCUAUGUUUGGUGUAGUUUUCCUCCCUGAGAGGAAAAUUGCAACCACACACACACGCAGAUGCAUGCAUGCAUGCAUAUAUAGAUUUAUAUAUCCUCUGCUCCUGCUUUUCCACUGAGCAGUCUGAGCGGGCUCCGGGGAAUGCUCCUGUAGAUGCAAAAGUUAUGAAGGCGGCAGGUUGGAAGAAUGUCCUGUCUGAAUUUAUUUUAAACUUGUUUAACGAGUUCUUUGUUACUAGUGCAAAAGCUAUUUUGAUUCUGAAGUACUGCAGUGCAGACUGUUCUGCUUUUGUGUGGUUGGUAUCCCAACAUCUUACUGCAGCAGAUAUUUGAGUUGCAAACUUGCAAUUUUUCGCUCUAUGGGGCCAACAUCGGCGUGAGAAACAAAUAUAAUAUCAUCUGUAGUGCUACUUGUUCCUGGGGGCACAAUAGCAUGAUGACUCUAUCUAGUGGAAUCUCUGAUGUUGAAUUGGUGAUACCAGUUUUUGUUUGUAGCUUAUGCAGUGAAUGAGGUUGGUUCAUGUUGACCAUGCUAGUCUCUUUGAAUAAAAGAUAUGUGGCUUUUCCUUUUUUGUUACUUUAUUUUAUUCCGGAUCCCCCUGUCUUAUAAACAUACCUCGAGGAAUCUGCUUUCUAAAGCAGGUGUUCUGAGUUAUUUUGUUUUCCGUAUGGAUUCUUGAUGAUUUUGAGGGUCUGGAUCUAUGAGCUCGUAGAAAUACUGAAUCCCUUGUAAAUGGGUUGUGGUUUCAGCCUCAUUUCCGAGCUGACUAGAUGAUUUUUUUUUUUGUCAUGAGGGCUAUUCUAAUCCGUCAGCCUGAUGAUUAGCAUCUUUUUUUGCACAAAAAUCUGAGAUCUGAAUGUGCUUUCCGUCGAAGCCUGCUUGACCGCCGUGGUGGGUCAUCUGAGCCACUGAGCUCAGCUCGGUGACUCCCUUGCUACUCCCUCCAUUCCAACCCUGUUCUUUUCGUGAACUAAACAAGGCCUUAUAUGAGUAGUUUUCUCUCAGGGAAACUACCAACUACUAGUACUAUGCACAUGCAUGUAUGGAGUAUAUAUAUAUCCUCGCUCUUCUUCCACCACUGAGCUGGCCGAGCAGGCUCCGGGAGAUGCAUCUGUAGAUGCAAAAGUUAUGAAGGCUAUCAAAGAUUGGAAGAAUGCCCUGCUUAAAUUCAUUUUUAACUUGUUUAACAAGUUCUUUAUCACUAUCUGAAGCUGUUCCUAUCAUAAAGCACUGCAACGCAGCCUGGGCUGCUUGUGAUUUGGUCAGCAUCGUGUUAAUGAUUUCGCUUUAGCUUGACUGCUAUUUGAAGUACAAACAUGCAGUGUUUUACCCUAUUGGCAAAAUUGGCAAGCAAAGAAAGUUGCAUCUGCUGUGCUCCUGGUUCAUGGGGGCACAACUGCAUGAUGACUGUCUAGGGGAAUAUUUGAUGCUAAUGCUAAUUCAAAUUUUCUUAUAUAGCUUACAAGGUGGAUAAGUUAAUGUGUGUACAACCAUGCUAGUGAUAGGUAUCCUUUUGAAUCGGAGUAAUGCAUUUUAGAUUUUUUUUAUGGCCAUAAAACUUUUCUGGCAUCUCAUCUGUGAUUGAGAUAAGCCAUUUUAGCUUGGGUGUUGGUUGCCUGGAAUUAAGUUACUGUCUAUUGAUUCUUUCCUAUAAGAAACAUGUCUGCUAUCGAGCUGCCAUAUUUCACCACUUCACUGCAUAAGAAAAAAUGGCAGAUCGUGAGAAGAAAGACAAGAACAUCUGCAGUGUCGUCAAUUCAAUUUCGUUAUGCAAAAGUAUGAUGACUUGGGGGAAUCUCCAAUGCUAAUCUUGCAAUAUUCUUUUUGGAAAUCCUAUUUAUUUUUUUGCAAGGUGUGCCCCUGUUUUGUUUCUCCCCCCCCCCCCCUUUUUUUUUUUGCUUUAGGUGCACUUUGGAGGAAUUAAUGUUUGGUAUCUUCUUGAGAGUUGCCAUCACAAAUUCACAACAUUUGACUGCAUAAAAACGGAUAGAUCGCAAGAAGCAGGACAAGGACAUCUGCUGUGUUCCCAGUAUGACGUAAUUGCAUGAUGACUGUCUUGGGGAAUCUCUGAUUCCAAUAUCAGAUUCAACUUAUUUUCUUGCAACUUGUCUCUUAUCUUGUGACCAUGUUUGGCUUUCUGCUCUUUUUGAAGCUGGCUUCUCCAAUGCUGUCGAUCAUAUUCCAAGUAUCAGUCCAUCCUUAUUUGCUUUGACCAUCCUGGCUGUCCCUGAAGUACAAUUGCAUUUUGUGCUAAAGGAAGAUUGUUUCUGAAAUGCCAAUGCUUAGUAUUUUGAUUUUUUUUUGAGUUUCUAUUCAUUUUGGAGGCAAGUAGUUCAAUGUUUUGGUAUUGUUAUGGGGUAGGCAUUUUGGUAUACCAGCCUGAUGAUUAUGUCGUUUGCAUUAAGAAUGGAGAUCUGAAUGCAUUUACCCCUUUGAAGCCCGCUAGGCCACUCUGGUGCUGCUGCUGGUGGUGCUGCUGAUGGUACUACUACUGCCUUCUCAGCCACCGUCAUCAUUGUCUGUCCCUAUCCCUGUUCCUCUCCUUCUCUGGCUGCUUGUUUGAUGCCUACCUCUGUGUGGAUGUGUGUGUGUGUGAUUCUGUGAACCAAGCUGGCUUAAGUGGGCACCGGGGAAUGCAUAUGCAGAUGCAAGGUUUAUGAAUGCGGCAAGAAUGCCCCGUAACCGAACAAUUUUGUCAUGUAAAAGUAAUAUCUCUGUAAGGUUGGUGUUUUUACUUUUUUUUGUGGCAACCCUGUUUAAUGAAUAGUUGCCCUUUCUUAACUGCAAUGCCAUUGACCUCUAGUUUCACUGCUUAUUCUUAGGUGUAUAAAACAAAUUUUGGAGUUGUGUAUUGUCAAAUCUUCUUUUCCAUCUGGAUUUGGAUCUUAAGUUACAGGUCUCGUAGUGGUUUAUGAUUCAAGGUUGGAAUUUGUUGAAGUGAACCAGUGUUUGGAAUGGCAACAUAGUUAGGUACCCUGCAUUGCAAACAAGGCGAGAUGAAAUGAACAUUUAUGACCAUUCAUUUAAUUUAAUAGAUGGGCAGGUGCUUGUUAGACCGUGGAUGUAACUAGUGCUAGUAUAGACACAUUCGUUUAACAGAUGGGUGAGUGCUUGUUAGACUGUGGAUGUAACUAGUGCUAGUAUAGACAAACUUCUAGAAAUUGGCAUAAUGCAAACAUAAAGUCUCCAGGUUACAUAGAUACUAGCUUUAGUUUCAGUGUUUGGCCUUGUUUGGAUCCAUUAGUGCUAAUAGUUAUUGGCUAGCAGAGGGAAGCUAGCUAAUAUCUUUUUAUUAGCAGGACAAUUAGCUAAUCUAUUAUUUGAGCCCAAUUGGGAUCCUCCAUUUAAUACUCCCUUCAUUCCCAAAUAAAUCAACUUUGAAAGUUGUAAGUCAAUUUUUUGUAAGUUUGACCAACUUUAUAUGAAAGAAUAUCAACAUUUAUGGUAACAAAUAGAUAUACUAUGUAAGUAUAUAUUAUGGUGUACCUAAUGAUACUAGUUCUGUGUCAUAAAUAUUGGUAUCUUUGUUAUAAGUUCUGUUAAACUUACAAAAGUUGAAUUAGGAGAACUUUAGAAGUUGAUUUAUUUGGGGAUGGAGGUAGUAGUUAGUGCUACUUAGCUUGGGGAAACCAGUCAAUGACUUUUUAUUAGCUAGGUAAGUAGAUAGUUUAUUCUGGGUUAUUAGUUGUACUAUUAGUUAGGAUGUUUGGAUCCACUAGUGCUAAUUUUAGCUACUAAAAAUUUGUCAUGGGGAUGUUCUGGUGAAUCUGGUCUGCGUGCUUGAUGAUUACCUUUGCACUGAGAAUGAAAAUUUGAAUACACUUGUUCGUUGGCGCCAACUUGGCCAUGGUGGUCGAUCGUGUACUGAAUAUACUUGUUCUAUUUUGGACGUAUUUUCUGUUCUUUCUACACGCAAGAGGUCAAUUCGUUUUAUUUGUGAUACUAUUUACACUUUUGGGACAGUUUUAUACCAUGAAAAAGUCCAUUUUAGCUCUUUUGACUAUUGUUCUAGUCUGAUUUUUUCGCCUCGAACUCUAAAAAUCGGACAUCUUUCCUCUUCAUCUCUCUAAACUAUUUAAAUUACCUUUUUGCCAUGCCUAGAAGUGGUUUCUUAGACUAGUUUAAUUUUUUUAGUUUUAAAAAGAAUUCAAUAAAUACCUAAUAAGGUUUAAACCACAAAGAAUAUCUCUGAGCUUAACAAAAUAUUUUGAGAUCAUGAAUGUAUCUCUAAAAGCUUAAAAAAACUAGAUUUAGCUCUAGGAAAAUGAGAAAAUUAUCCAAAAAAAUAUAUGAAGUUCUCAAACUUUCCACAAUAAAACAUGAGAUGCGACUAACAUGAAUGCAAAGUUGGAAUGAAGUUGCACUCUUGCUAGGUGCAUCUAAUAUUUUUGUUGUGGAAAGUUUUAAAAUGUGUUUAGAUAUUGAUUAAUGUUUUUUGAAAUAUCUAGAUUUUUUUCUAUAUAUUUUACCAUUUCUAGAGCUACAUCUAAUUUUUGGAAGUUUUUAGAUAUAUUUUCAUGAGCCCUAAAUAUUUUAUUUGGGUUUGUAGUGUCCCAUUUUAUCCCUAGGUUUUUCUUGGAAUUUUUAGAAGCUUAUAGACCUUUUUUUUUUCUGGUUUAAAACCCAUAUUAGGUAUUUAUCUGAUUUAUUUAACUAAUAAAAAGGAUGAAACCAAAAACACUUGCAAACGCGGCAAGGGUUAAUUUAAAUGGUUUUGAGAGCGGAUGAGGUAAGAUGUCUGAUUUGAAGAUCAAGGAAAAAAAAUCAAACCAUAAAAUAGUUUGAGAGGUAAAAAAAAGUUUUUUUUUUCUAAAUAGUAAGUUUGUGUUUGGUUAUAUUGGCUAGGCUAGCCAAACGAACAGGGUGCAUCUGGGAGGACAUUUAAAGUUUCCCAAUUUUAGUAUAAGUGUGAUAUCGUCUCCUGGUGUCCUUAUUUUGCUUUAGGUGUUUGUUGGAGGAUCUAUGUCUGCCAUGCAUCUGGGAAUUAAAAUAUGCCAAUGUCUCACCAUUUCACUUCAUAGAAACAUCAAACAUUGAUAGAUGACGAGAAGAUCUUCGGUGUUCCCUGGAUCAGGGAUGCAAUAGCAUGAUGAUCCCAGUCUAGGGGAGUUUCUGAUGCCAAUAUCAGGUUCUUUUGCUUAUUUUCUUGCACAUUGUCUUUUUUUUUUCCUAUGAUCAUAUUUGGUUUUGGGUGUUAUUCGAGUAUUCUUCAUUAAUCUCAGGCUUUUUUUGUUUAUUUCGUUUUCCCUUAUGACUAUUAAGUUGUAGGGGUUAGUAGAUGGGUAGAUGCUUGUUAAAUCAUGGAUUGGUUUAAGCAAGUUAUUCUUGUUUCAGAGUUUGUCAUGGUGUGUUCUGAUUUGGCAUCCUGAUAAUUACCUCUGCACUAAGAGUGGAGAUUGGAAUACACAUAUUAGUUGAUGUCGGCUUGGCGUUGUGUUGGAUCAUGUACUCCCUCCGAUUCCAAGUUUAAGUCCAAUUCCAAGUUUAAAUCCAAUCCAUCGAGCUAUCCAUGCAUAUUUUACUCUGAUUUUCUUCCACAAAGCUGGCUGAGUGGGCUCCGACUAGGAUGUGUGUAGGUAAAAUAGGAAUUGAGGCUUUGACAGACAUUCCUGUAGUACCUUUGUAUGCGCAUAAGAUUAUUUGUGCAUAACUGCCAUAUGUAGUGCCUGGAAAAAGUUCUGAUUUAUUUGGUUUUAUUUUUGAAGCUAGUAGUUCAGUGUUUUGGUUUUGUUAUGGGGCAUUCUGAUAUUCAAGCCUGAUGAUUAAUGGUAAUUUGCAUCAAGAGUGAUGAUCUGAAUGCAGUUUUCCUGUUAAUGGAUGUGCCUGGCCACUCUGGUUGAUGGUAUGCUGCUGCUGUGCCUCUCAUGGGUCGUCGUCGUCAUCAUCAUCAUCUCUCUCUCUCUCUCUCUCUCUCUCUCUCUCUCUCUCUCUCUCUCUCUCUCUCUCUCUCUCUCUCCCCGCCCCCCCGGGAUGAUUGUCUGGAAAAUGUAUAUGUUGAUGCAAUGAUUAUGAAGGCUUGCCAGAUAUAAGAACCCCCCUGAUCGAACAAAUUUGUUUUGUUUUUCUCAAAUCCGCAGGAUAGCUGUGCAUCGUUGCAACAUUUUUUUUGGUUAUGGGUUGUCUCUAUGAGCUUGAUUUUUACUCUCUUUUUUUGGCAAGCAGAUUUUCCAACAUUGCAGUUAGCCAUUCUUUUUCUAUUUUUUUCUUUUUGAUUAAAGCAAAUUAUGGAGUUGUGUUGGUCUUGUCAAAUUUUGUCAUCCAAUCUGAUCAAUUCUUGAAAUUAUGUGAUUUUUCAAGAUUGGGAUCUACUCCGUAGUUUGUAGCCACAGUGUGCCAGUUCAUAAAUAGUUGAUGAUUAUGGUUACAAUGUGGGAUGACAACUUAGUCAAGUGAUCUGCAUUACAAAUAAGAGAUGAAAUGUUUUAAACAAGAAUGAAGAACCAGGCUGGCUAGAUGGAUCAAGCGACGUGAAAUUGAAACUAAUUGAACAAAGGUUGCUUGGUAAUCGUGCAUCUGCAUCUAGGCAUGUAUUGUGUGAGAGGCAGGGGAAGAUCAAUGAAGCUUAUAAGAAGCUGCAGGAUGGAUGGCUGACAAUGGGCACAAAGUCCCUUCUGUUCAGUUUGCUAAGGUCGCUGGGUACCUCAAGGGCUCAUUUCUUGUUUACUGGACAGUUGAUAUAUUCUGGUACAACACAUCCUGCCUCAUAUCCUGCCAACUCUUCAAACUAUUAAUGAGUUUGUCAUUGGGCCAAUGAAAAUUCUUGGAUGCUCCAAAACAGCUCUUACUUUCCUUUUCUAUUCAUUAGACUAGGUGUCUUAUGUAAGAUGUUUCCUACUUAGUCAUAUUGUAGUAUAUAUACCUAGCACAUUUUCUCCAUCGUUACAAUCUUUGCCCUGCCUACGCGCGCGAUGGCGCGCGCC
Long non-coding RNA from Sorghum bicolor (sorghum), 7612 nucleotides. RefSeq lists it as uncharacterized. The record is from RefSeq and is a predicted model, not a curated record. NCBI's taxonomy places the organism in Eukaryota, Viridiplantae, Streptophyta, Magnoliopsida, Poales, Poaceae. The transcript has 4 exons.